RNAcentral lists this ribosomal RNA (97 nucleotides) under Clostridioides difficile. The record is from RNAcentral. Lineage: Bacteria; Bacillati; Bacillota; Clostridia; Peptostreptococcales; Peptostreptococcaceae.
GAUACACCUGUUCCCAUUCCGAACACAGAAGUUAAGCUCUCUAGCGCUGAUGGUACUUGGUGGGAAACUGCCUGGGAGAGUAGGACGUAGCCACGUA